RNAcentral lists this ribosomal RNA (508 nucleotides) under Candida albicans. RNAcentral's name for it is "eukaryotic LSU rRNA". The stretch from base 142 to 295 matches the Rfam family "5.8S ribosomal RNA". The record is from RNAcentral. Lineage: Eukaryota; Fungi; Ascomycota; Pichiomycetes; Serinales; Debaryomycetaceae.
UAAGGAAAUGCUUAUUGCACCACAUGUGUUUUUCUUUGAAACAAACUUGCUUUGGCGGUGGGCCCAGCCUGCCGCCAGAGGUCUAAACUUACAACCAAUUUUUUAUUAACUUGUCACACCAGAUUAUUACUUAAUAGUCAAAACUUUCAACAACGGAUCUCUUGGUUCUCGCAUCGAUGAAGAACGCAGCGAAAUGCGAUACGUAAUAUGAAUUGCAGAUAUUCGUGAAUCAUCGAAUCUUUGAACGCACAUUGCGCCCUCUGGUAUUCCGGAGGGCAUGCCUGUUUGAGCGUCGUUUCUCCCUCAAACCGCUGGGUUUGGUGUUGAGCAAUACGACUUGGGUUUGCUUGAAAGACGGUAGUGGUAAGGCGGGAUCGCUUUGACAAUGGCUUAGGUCUAACCAAAAACAUUGCUUGCGGCGGUAACGUCCACCACGUAUAUCUUCAAACUUUGACCUCAAAUCAGGUAGGACUACCCGCUGAACUUAAGCAUAUCAAAAGCGGAGGAA